Molecule: ribosomal RNA, 550 nt
Filed under: uncultured bacterium
Lineage: Bacteria
Description: bacterial SSU rRNA
Rfam family: Bacterial small subunit ribosomal RNA
Source: RNAcentral
UAGGGAAUCUUCGGCAAUGGGGGCAACCCUGACCGAGCAACGCCGCGUGAGUGAAGAAGGUUUUCGGAUCGUAAAGCUCUGUUGUAAGAGAAGAACGAGUGUGAGAGUGGAAAGUUCACACUGUGACGGUAACUUACCAGAAAGGGACGGCUAACUACGUGCCAGCAGCCGCGGUAAUACGUAGGUCCCGAGCGUUAUCCGGAUUUAUUGGGCGUAAAGCGAGCGCAGGCGGUUAGAUAAGUCUGAAGUUAAAGGCUGUGGCUUAACCAUAGUACGCUUUGGAAACUGUUUAACUUGAGUGCAGAAGGGGAGAGUGGAAUUCCAUGUGUAGCGGUGAAAUGCGUAGAUAUAUGGAGGAACACCGGUGGCGAAAGCGGCUCUCUGGUCUGUAACUGACGCUGAGGCUCGAAAGCGUGGGGAGCAAACAGGAUUAGAUACCCUGGUAGUCCACGCCGUAAACGAUGAGUGCUAGGUGUUGGAUCCUUUCCGGGACUCAGUGCCGAAGCUAACGCAUUAAGCACUCCGCCUGGGGAGUACGACCGCAAGGUUG